RNAcentral lists this ribosomal RNA (238 nucleotides) under uncultured bacterium. RNAcentral's name for it is "partial 16S ribosomal RNA". It matches the Rfam family "Bacterial small subunit ribosomal RNA", at positions 539 to 776 of the family's 1533-position model. The record is from RNAcentral.
CGUUAAUCGGAAUUACUGGGCGUAAAGUGUGCGCAGGCGGCCGAGCAAGUCGAGUGUGAAAGCCCCGAGCUUAACUUGGGAACUGCGCUCGAAACUACUUGGCUAGAGUGUGGCAGAGGGAGGUGGAAUUCCACGUGUAGCGGUGAAAUGCGUAGAGAUGUGGAGGAACACCGAUGGCGAAGGCAGCCUCCUGGGCCAACACUGACGCUCAUGCACGAAAGCGUGGGGAGCAAACAGG